This 451-nucleotide ribosomal RNA is filed under the name uncultured bacterium. RNAcentral describes it as "partial 16S ribosomal RNA". It matches the Rfam family "Bacterial small subunit ribosomal RNA", at positions 29 to 523 of the family's 1533-position model. The record is from RNAcentral.
AACGAACGCUGGCGGCAUGCCUAACACAUGCAAGUCGAACGAGUGCCUUCGGGUGCUAGUGGCGCACGGGUGCGUAACGCGUGGGAAUCUGCCCUUAGGUUCGGAAUAACAGCUGGAAACGGCUGCUAAUACCGGAUGAUAUCGCGAGAUCAAAGAUUUAUCGCCUGAGGAUGAGCCCGCGUUGGAUUAGGUAGUUGGUGGGGUAAAGGCCUACCAAGCCGACGAUCCAUAGCUGGUCUGAGAGGAUGAUCAGCCACACUGGGACUGAGACACGGCCCAGACUCCUACGGGAGGCAGCAGUGGGGAAUAUUGGACAAUGGGCGCAAGCCUGAUCCAGCAAUGCCGCGUGAGUGAUGAAGGCCCUAGGGUUGUAAAGCUCUUUUACCCGGGAAGAUAAUGACUGUACCGGGAGAAUAAGCCCCGGCUAACUCCGUGCCAGCCGCCGCAGUAA